GUCAGUGCCCUGGCAGCCACCCAGCCUCAGAGCAGAAGCUAGGACGGCCACCCUCUUGAAAGUUCAGGUGGAUCUACUUGAAAAAUGAACGAAGUUGAGGAGGUUGGAAUUCCCUUCCAUCUGGUGCCAUCGUCUGAAUCCGUUUCCUGAGGAUUGCUGCUCCUUUUUGUGAGAAACAAGACUGCAGAUUCAAAUCUAAACUGUAUCGCCUUGUUCUCGGUGACUUGGGAAUCCUCCUUCGGCUGCAGUUGGGCUCCACACUCUACCCCAGGCUAAACCUUCUUUCUCAAACCCUCAGAAGGCAUUCAACCGUGUUAACGCUGCCCACUCACCAACUCAGAUCGGGACCAAGGCUCAGGCAUUCGGCAACGUGCCCAGGCUUUACCUCUUGGGACUUCCAACGUGUUUAGAAAGCACAAUGCCAGUGGCAGAGCAGACAGAUGGACUGUCGAGGAGCUUGUGGCAAAAUCCCUCUUCCUCCCAAAACAUCAGCUAUGAUUAGCUGUGUCCUCACCACGAAACUGCAGGGGCGUGUAUGGGUGAGUCACUGCUGUCCAAAGCGCAUGCGCGGGGUGCUUGCUGGCCCAGUGGGGGACCUGGGUGGCUGUCAGAAGGGCCCUGUUCCCCUUUUCCUAUGCCCAGUGCUGGUUGAAAUUUUAGGGUCCAGGUAUGUGGGUGAGUGUUUCAGAACCAUCCCCUGUGCUGCCUGGCUUCCAGAGGGCUCGGCAGGCCAGGCCACUGCCAUUCAGAGCAGCUCUGUGGAGGGGGUCCCUCCCCACCCAACCCAGCAGACCCACCCAGGAGCACGCCAAGG
This 814-nucleotide long non-coding RNA is filed under the name Heterocephalus glaber (naked mole-rat). RNAcentral's name for it is "lncRNA (ENSHGLG00100044163.1)". Lineage: Eukaryota; Metazoa; Chordata; Mammalia; Rodentia; Bathyergidae. The record is from RNAcentral.